This 432-nucleotide ribosomal RNA is filed under the name uncultured bacterium. Its description in RNAcentral is "partial 16S ribosomal RNA". It matches the Rfam family "Bacterial small subunit ribosomal RNA", at positions 29 to 507 of the family's 1533-position model. The record is from RNAcentral.
AACGAACGCUGGCGGCAUGCCUAACACAUGCAAGUCGAACGAGACCUUCGGGUCUAGUGGCGCACGGGUGCGUAACGCGUGGGAACCUGCCCUUAGGUUCGGAAUAACUCCCCGAAAGGGGUGCUAAUACCGAAAAUGUUCUCCGACCAAAGAAUUUAUUCCCUUGGAUGGGCCCGCCUUGGAUUAGCUAGUUGGUAGGGUAAAAGCCUACCAAGGCGACGCAUCAUAGCUGGGCUGAGAGGAUGAUCAGCCACACUGGGACUGAGACACCGCCCAGACUCCUACGGGAGGCAGCAGUGGGGAAUAUUGGACAAUGGGCGAAAGCCUGAUCCAGCAAUGCCGCGUGAGUGAUGAAGGCCGUAGGGUUGUAAAGCUCUUUUACCCGGGAUGAUAAUGACAGUACCGGGAGAAUAAGCUCCGGCUAACUCCGUG